GAUGAACGCUGGCGGCGUGCCUAAUACAUGCAAGUCGAGCGAACGGACGAGAAGCUUGCUUCUCUGAUGUUAGCGGCGGACGGGUGAGUAACACGUGGAUAACCUACCUAUAAGACUGGGAUAACUUCGGGAAACCGGAGCUAAUACCGGAUGAUAUUUUGAACCGCAUGGUUCAAAAGUGAAAGACGGUCUUGCUGUCACUUAUAGAUGGAUCCGCGCUGCAUCAGCUAGUUGGUAAGGUAACGGCUUACCAAGGCAACGAUGCAUAGCCGACCUGAGAGGGUGAUCGGCCACACUGGAACUGAGACACGGUCCAGACUCCUACGGGAGGCAGCAGUAGGAAAUCUUCCGCAAAGGGCGAAAGCCUGACGGAGCAACGCCGCGUGAGUGAUGAAGGUCUUCGGAUCGUAAAACUCUGUUAUUAGGGAAGAACAUAUGUGUAAGUAACUGUGCACAUCUUGACGGUACCUAAUCAGAAAGCCACGGCUAACUACGUG
This 497-nucleotide ribosomal RNA is filed under the name uncultured bacterium. RNAcentral describes it as "partial 16S ribosomal RNA". It matches the Rfam family "Bacterial small subunit ribosomal RNA", at positions 28 to 507 of the family's 1533-position model. The record is from RNAcentral.